Molecule: long non-coding RNA, 728 nt
Organism: Carassius auratus (goldfish)
Lineage: Eukaryota; Metazoa; Chordata; Actinopteri; Cypriniformes; Cyprinidae
Exons: 3
Source: RefSeq, a predicted model, not a curated record
GGCGGAACUACAUGGAAGCCUCCGUCGACCUAUCCGUCCCAUAUCUGAUGUCAUUGACCAGAAGCACAACAGCCGCUGCAGUAGCCACGCCCACCAGAGCAGUGACGACCAAUCGGAACACAGCUUCGACAGUACCACAACAAUGGACAGGGACUUCUGAAAAAAGAGAGAGUCACAUGACCCACAUUCACCACUGAACACACCAAUGAACAAUUCUUCUCUGAGGAUGAGGAUGAAGAACAGUUUGAAGAGUUACUGCUGAUGAUAGGAACAGGCAGACGAGCUGGAAACAUCAGAGAAAAAGGAGAAAUGAGGAUGAAACUAAUCAACAAUCUUAAUUUUGUUUCAAUGUUUUAAUUCACUACUAUUUCAGCAUGUAAAUGAUCAAAUAAGAAUAUGAGAAGGACAGGACAAAUGAUCUCUACUCACCAUAGACAGAAACACUGAAUGUUUUUUAUGUUGAUUUUGCUCCACUUAUCAGUAGUUGAUAAACUCCAGCAUGUUCAGUUGUGAUGUUUGUGAUGGUCAGAGAUCCAGUUUGAUCGUCCAGCUUCAGUCUGUCUCUGAAUCUCUCAUCAGCAACAUCAUAUUUGCUGAAGAGUCCAUCCUCUAUUCUUAUUUGAGCUAUUAGAGUCUUUUCAGCUCCAAAUCUCCACACAAUGUAAUCGUCAUGUUUUCUAAUAAAAUCAGUUCUUAGAGUGACAGAAUCUCCCUCCGUCACUGAUAAU